AUAUUGAGUUCAAUUUAUAUUUGGUACCUGAUUAUAAAUUCUGCUUUAUAUAAAAAAUUUCAAAAAGAAAAUUACUAUAAAGAUUUUUUAUUUAGUGUGAAUAAAACAGUAUUUUAUUUACGAGAUAAAUAAAACCAGUAUAUUCUUCUGAAUAUAGGUAUAUCCAAAAUAAUAGUAUAUACUAAUUUACAUAAUUAGGAAAUAAAAUAAUUGUAGUUUAUAUGAUGUAUAUAAAUCUCUUUCCUUCUUGUGUGUUUUCGACUAGACAAAGAAAUAUAUUCAUUUUUUGCAAUAGUUUUUUUUGUAAAUAGUUGAAAAGGAAAUAUAUCCUUUGCAAUUUUGUGAAGAAAACAAAAGAGACUACAAAAAAAGCUCUAUAAUAAAAAAAAGCUCUAUAAUAAAGAGCAGGGACAGGGAAUAUUAUGGUAGUUAAAAAAUAAUAAUUUAAGCCUUAUGUUACAAAAAAAAAAAAUAUAUCCUUGAGGCCCUCCACCGUGUGGAAACUUACGAGGUUGGUCGGUGUUAGCGGCGCGGAGAACCAGAACCGUCGAGGAUUACAUCAUCACUCGUCAAUUUAGCCGUUCCACAUUUGAAUUUUAUUUAAUAACCUGUCUUGUUUUUCAUACAUCUGUAUCCAAUAACAAUCUGCACAAAGCUUCUCUACUCGUACUUCCUCUCUGUUAUUAGUUAUUUAAUUUAUACUGUCUCUCUCCCUAUAUAAAUAGUUUCUUUUAAUAUUUUUUUUUGCUAAAGCUAUAAAUAGUUUCAUAAUUUAUACUGUCU
This 783-nucleotide long non-coding RNA is filed under the name Brassica rapa (field mustard). RNAcentral's name for it is "long non-coding RNA (BRAP_LNC000869)". The record is from RNAcentral. Lineage: Eukaryota; Viridiplantae; Streptophyta; Magnoliopsida; Brassicales; Brassicaceae.